ACACAUGCAAGUCGAACGAUGAAGCCCAGCUUGCUGGGUGGAUUAGUGGCGAACGGGUGAGUAACACGUGAGUAACCUGCCCCUGACUCUGGGAUAAGCGUUGGAAACGACGUCUAAUACUGGAUAUGACUACUGGUCGCAUGGCCUGGUGGUGGAAAGAUUUUUUGGUUGGGGAUGGACUCGCGGCCUAUCAGCUUGUUGGUGAGGUAAUGGCUCACCAAGGCGACGACGGGUAGCCGGCCUGAGAGGGUGACCGGCCACACUGGGACUGAGACACGGCCCAGACUCCUACGGGAGGCAGCAGUGGGGAAUAUUGCACAAUGGGCGAAAGCCUGAUGCAGCAACGCCGCGUGAGGGAUGACGGCCUUCGGGUUGUAAACCUCUUUUAGUAGGGAAGAAGCGAAAGUGACGGUACCUGCAGAAAAAGCACCGGCUAACUACGUGCCAGCAGCCGCGGUAAUACGUAGGGUGCAAGCGUUGUCCGGAAUUAUUGGGCGUAAAGAGCUCGUAGGCGGUUUGUCGCGUCUGCUGUGAAAUCCCGAGGCUCAACCUCGGGCUUGCAGUGGGUACGGGCAGACUAGAGUGCGGUAGGGGAGAUUGGAAUUUCCUGGUGUAGCGGUGGGAAUGCGCAGAUAUCAGAGGACACGAUGGCGAAGGCAGAUCUCUGGCGUACUGACGCUGAGGAGCGAAGCGUGGGGAGCGACAGAAUAGAUACCUGUAGUCACGCGUAACGUUGGCGCUAGAUGUAGGACUUCACGUUUCUGUGUUCGUAGCUACGCAUAAGCGCCUCGCUGGGGAGUACGGUCGACAAGCUUAACUCGAAGGAAUGACUGGGGUCURCCUAAGCUCGCUGAACUUGCGAUUAAUGACGAUUGCAAUC
RNAcentral lists this ribosomal RNA (880 nucleotides) under Curtobacterium sp. RNAcentral describes it as "bacterial SSU rRNA". It matches the Rfam family "Bacterial small subunit ribosomal RNA", at positions 51 to 962 of the family's 1533-position model. Lineage: Bacteria; Bacillati; Actinomycetota; Actinomycetes; Micrococcales; Microbacteriaceae. The record is from RNAcentral.